GGCUUAGAGUUUGAUCAUGGCUCAGGACGAACGCUGGCGGCGUGCCUAACACAUGCAAGUCGAACGGAGUAAUUUGGCGGAAGUUUUCGGAUGGAAGCUGAUUUACUUAGUGGCGGACGGGUGAGUAACACGUGAGUAACCUGCCUCUCAGAGGGGGAUAACGUCUUGAAAAGGACGCUAAUACCGCACGACAUCUCGUGACCGCAUGGUUGUGAGAUCAAAGGAGCAAUCCGCUGAGAGAUGGACUCGCGUCCGAUUAGCCAGUUGGCGGGGUAACGGCCCACCAAAGCAACGAUCGGUAGCCGGACUGAGAGGUUGAACGGCCACAUUGGGACUGAGACACGGCCCAGACUCCUACGGGAGGCAGCAGUGGGGGAUAUUGCACAAUGGGGGAAACCCUGAUGCAGCAACGCCGCGUGAAGGAUGAAGGUCUUCGGAUUGUAAACUUUUGUCCUAUGGGAAGAAGAAAGUGACGGUACCAUAGGAGGAAGCUCCGGCUAACUACGUGCCAGCAGCCGCGGUAAUACGUAGGGAGCAAGCGUUGUCCGGAUUUACUGGGUGUAAAGGGUGCGUAGGCGGAAGAGCAAGUCAGUAGUGAAAUCUGGGGGCUUAACCCCCAAACUGCUAUUGAAACUGUUCUUCUUGAGUGGAGUAGAGGUAGGCG
This 664-nucleotide ribosomal RNA is filed under the name uncultured bacterium. Its description in RNAcentral is "bacterial SSU rRNA". It matches the Rfam family "Bacterial small subunit ribosomal RNA", at positions 1 to 663 of the family's 1533-position model. The record is from RNAcentral.